Molecule: ribosomal RNA, 253 nt
Filed under: uncultured bacterium
Lineage: Bacteria
Description: partial 16S ribosomal RNA
Rfam family: Bacterial small subunit ribosomal RNA
Source: RNAcentral
UACGAAGGGGGCAAGCGUUGUUCGGAAUUACUGGGCGUAAAGGGCGCGUAGGCGGUGCUCUAAGUCAGGCGUGAAAGCCCUGGGCUCAACCCGGGAAUUGCGCUUGAUACUGGGGCGCUUGAAUCCAGGAGAGGUUGGUGGAAUUCCCAGUGUAGAGGUGAAAUUCGUAGAGAUUGGGAAGAACACCGGUGGCGAAGGCGGCCAACUGGACUGGUAUUGACGCUGAGGCGCGAAAGCGUGGGGAGCAAACAGG